GAUCUUUAUCUCUGUUGUAUCUGUAUGUGUGUGUGUGUGCGUAUAUGUUAUAGGUGCUCACUAACAGCACUUGCCCCAAGCAGUCUGUAUA
RNAcentral lists this microRNA precursor (91 nucleotides) under Petromyzon marinus (sea lamprey). RNAcentral's name for it is "miRNA (ENSPMAG00000011115.1)". The record is from RNAcentral. Lineage: Eukaryota; Metazoa; Chordata; Hyperoartia; Petromyzontiformes; Petromyzontidae.